GCCUCAGUAACGGCGAGUGAAGCGGCAAAAGCUCAAAUUUGAAAUCUGGCUCUUUCAGGGUCCGAGUUGUAAUUUGUAGAAGAUGCUUCGGGUGUGGUCCCGGUCUAAGUUCCUUGGAACAGGACGUCAUAGAGGGUGAGAAUCCCGUAUGUGACUGGGUACCUACGCUCAUGUGAAGCUCUUUCGACGAGUCGAGUUGUUUGGGAAUGCAGCUCAAAAUGGGUGGUAAAUUUCAUCUAAAGCUAAAUAUUGGCCAGAGACCGAUAGCGCACAAGUAGAGUGAUCGAAAGAUGAAAAGCACUUUGGAAAGAGAGUUAAACAGUACGUGAAAUUGUUGAAAGGGAAGCGCUUGCAAUCAGACUUGCGCCUAGUUGAUCAUCCGGGCUUCUGCCCGGUGCACUCGAUUAGGCUCAGGCCAGCAUCGGUUUGGGUGGUUGGAUAAAGGCUUGGGGAACGUAGCCUCCUUCGGGGGGUGUUAUAGCCCCAGGUGCAAUGCAGCCUACCUGGACCGAGGACCGCGCUUCGGCUAGGAUGCUGGCGUAAUGGUUGUAAGCGACCCGUCUUGAAACACGGACCAAGGAGUCUAACAUUUAUGCGAGUGUUUGGGUGUUAAACCCAUACGCGUAAUGAAAGUGAACGGAGGUAAGAACCCUUAAGGGUGCAUUAUCGACCGAUCCUGAUGUCUUCGGAUGGAUUUGAGUAAGAGCAUAACUGUUGGGACCCGAAAGAUGGUGAUCUAUACGUGAAUAGGGUGAAGCCAGAGGAAACUCUGGUGGAGGCUCGCAGCGGUCUGACGUGCAAAUCGAUCGUCAAAUUUGCGUAUAGGGGGCGAAAAGACUAAUCGAAACCAU
Molecule: ribosomal RNA, 851 nt
Filed under: Clarireedia henningsiana
Lineage: Eukaryota; Fungi; Ascomycota; Leotiomycetes; Helotiales; Rutstroemiaceae
Description: partial large subunit ribosomal RNA
Rfam family: Eukaryotic large subunit ribosomal RNA
Source: RNAcentral